GACGAACGCUGGCGGCGUGCCUAAUACAUGCAAGUCGAGCGGACUUGAAGGAGUGCUUGCACUCCUGAGAGUUAGCGGCGGACGGGUGAGUAACACGUAGGCAACCCGCCCUCAAGACUGGGAUAACUACCGGAAACGGUAGCUAAUACCGGAUAAUUUAUUACAUAGCAUUAUGUGAUAAUGAAAGACGGAGCAAUCUGUCACUUGGGGAUGGGCCUGCGGCGCAUUAGCUAGUUGGUGGGGUAACGGCCCACCAAGGCGACGAUGCGUAGCCGACCUGAGAGGGUGAACGGCCACACUGGGACUGAGACACGGCCCAGACUCCUACGGGAGGCAGCAGUAGGGAAUCUUCCGCAAGGGGCGAAAGCCUGACGGAGCAACGCCGCGUGAGUGAUGAAGGUUUUCGGAUCGUAAAGCUCUGUUGCCAAGGAAGAACGUCUCAUAGAGUAACUGCUAUGAGAGUGACGGUACUUGAGAAGAAAGCCCCGGCUAACUACGU
This 499-nucleotide ribosomal RNA is filed under the name uncultured bacterium. RNAcentral describes it as "partial 16S ribosomal RNA". It matches the Rfam family "Bacterial small subunit ribosomal RNA", at positions 28 to 506 of the family's 1533-position model. The record is from RNAcentral.